GGGGUGGGGCCAGCUACCAUGCAAGUCGAGCGGUAGCACAGGGAGCUUGCUCCUGGGUGACGAGCGGCGGACGGGUGAGUAAUGUCUGGGAAACUGCCUGAUGGAGGGGGAUAACUACUGGAAACGGUAGCUAAUACCGCAUAACGUCGCAAGACCAAAGAGGGGGACCUUCGGGCCUCUUGCCAUCAGAUGUGCCCAGAUGGGAUUAGCUAGUAGGUGGGGUAACGGCUCACCUAGGCGACGAUCCCUAGCUGGUCUGAGAGGAUGACCAGCCACACUGGAACUGAGACACGGUCCAGACUCCUACGGGAGGCAGCAGUGGGGAAUAUUGCACAAUGGGCGCAAGCCUGAUGCAGCCAUGCCGCGUGUAUGAAGAAGGCCUUCGGGUUGUAAAGUACUUUCAGCGGGGAGGAAGGUGUUGAGGUUAAUAACCUCAGCAAUUGACGUUACCCGCAGAAGAAGCACCGGCUAACUCCGUGCCAGCAGCCGCGGUAAUACGGAGGGUGCAAGCGUUAAUCGGAAUUACUGGGCGUAAAGCGCACGCAGGCGGUCUGUCAAGUCGGAUGUGAAAUCCCCGGGCUCAACCUGGGAACUGCAUUCGAAACUGGCAGGCUAGAGUCUUGUAGAGGGGGGUAGAAUUCCAGGUGUAGCGGUGAAAUGCGUAGAGAUCUGGAGGAAUACCGGUGGCGAAGGCGGCCCCCUGGACAAAGACUGACGCUCAGGUGCGAAAGCGUGGGGAGCAAACAGGAUUAGAUACCCUGGUAGUCCACGCCGUAAACGAUGUCGACUUGGAGGUUGUGCCCUUGAGGCGUGGCUUCCGGAGCUAACGCGUUAAGUCGACCGCCUGGGGAGUACGGCCGCAAGGUUAAAACUCACAUGAAUUGACGGGGGCCCGCACAAGCGGUGGAGCAUGUGGUUUAAUUCUAUGCAACGCGAAGAACCUUACCUACUCUUGACAUCCAGAGAACUUUCCAGAAAUGAAUUGGUGCCUUCGCCAACUCUAAAACAGUGCUGCAUGGCUGUCGUCACCUCCUGUUGUCAAAUGUUGGAUUAAGUCCCACAACCAGCGCAACCCUUAUCCUUUGUUGCAGCGGUCCGGCCGGGAACUCAAAGAAUACUGCCAGUGAUCAACUGGAGAAAGUGGGAAUGACGCGAGUCAUCCUGCCCCUUACGAGGAGGGUUAACAACUGCUAAAUGGGGGUACAAAAGAAAAAAAAUCCCGGAACCACCGGACCCAAAUAGGCGUCCUUUCCGGUUGGGAGUCGCACGGCACCCCCCCACCCCCAUGGCCUUGAACUAAAUAAAAAGUAACGGAAAAUUUACGGGCCUGUAAACG
RNAcentral lists this ribosomal RNA (1336 nucleotides) under Enterobacter sp. RNAcentral describes it as "bacterial SSU rRNA". It matches the Rfam family "Bacterial small subunit ribosomal RNA", at positions 39 to 1334 of the family's 1533-position model. The record is from RNAcentral. Lineage: Bacteria; Pseudomonadati; Pseudomonadota; Gammaproteobacteria; Enterobacterales; Enterobacteriaceae.